GAUGAACGCUGACAGAAUGCUUAACACAUGCAAGUCAACUUGAAUUUGGGUUUUUAACUUAGGUUUGGGUGGCGGACGGGUGAGUAACGCGUAAAGAACUUGCCUCACAGCUAGGGACAACAUUUGGAAACGAAUGCUAAUACCUAAUAUUAUGAUAAUAGGGCAUCCUAUAAUUAUGAAAGCUAUAAGCGCUGUGAGAGAGCUUUGCGUCCCAUUAGCUAGUUGGAGAGGUAACGGCUCACCAAGGCGAUGAUGGGUAGCCGGCCUGAGAGGGUGAUCGGCCACAAGGGGACUGAGACACGGCCCUUACUCAUACGGGAGGCAGCAGUGGGGAAUAUUGGACAAUGGACCGAGAGUCUGAUCAAGCAAUUCUGUGUGCACGAUGAAGUUUUUCGGAAUGUAAAGUGCUUUCAGUUGGGAAGAAACAAAUGACGGUACCAACAGAAGAAGUGACGGCUAAAUACGUG
This 467-nucleotide ribosomal RNA is filed under the name uncultured bacterium. Its description in RNAcentral is "partial 16S ribosomal RNA". It matches the Rfam family "Bacterial small subunit ribosomal RNA", at positions 28 to 507 of the family's 1533-position model. The record is from RNAcentral.